Arachis stenosperma is the source of this 5440-nucleotide RNA transcript. It is a transcript of the gene named lysine-specific demethylase JMJ27, with no coding region annotated. The record is from RefSeq and is a predicted model, not a curated record. Lineage: Eukaryota; Viridiplantae; Streptophyta; Magnoliopsida; Fabales; Fabaceae. The transcript has 13 exons.
CCCGGGCUCUACACUAGUCUUCUGAAUACCGAUAACGCAAGGGUUAGAGGCGAAAUUCAUUUACAACAGAAUCCAAAAUUCACCUCCUCCUGCAGCUCGUAGCCGUCCGAUCAGAUGACGGAGUCACCGUCGGAUAGGCGGUGUAAACGCACCGCGGGCCCAAAUUGGCGGUGCAGCGGGGUGGCGUCGCUGGGAAAAUCGUUCUGCGAGAAACACUUGCAGCAGCGUGCGCUUCAAGACCAGAAACGCAGAAUUAAGAGGAACGAAGGGAACGAAUCAGAGCGCAGGUCCAACAAGACCAAGAGGAGGCUGUCGACCGCGGAUGACGUCAGUGCCGGAUCCGAAUUGGAAGUUUCCGUGUCCGAAUUGAUUGAAAACUCCGUCAGAAAGAAAAAAAAGAACGAGACGAAGAAGAAGAAACCACUUGAUCAAGAGAGUGUAAAUGAGUGUGGUAUUCACGAGGACUCUGACAGGGGAAUGAUGAGCGUGAACGGUGUCAAGAAGGGUUCAGGAGUUGAAGAUAAGAAACAAAUGGGUAGCAAAAGCAAGGAGGGUGGAAGUUUGAUGUGUCAUCAGUGCCAGAGGAAUGAUAAGAGUGGAGUUGUCUUUUGCUCGAAGUGCAACAGAAAACGCUACUGUUAUGAAUGCCUUAACAAGUGGUACCCAGGUAAAACCCGGAAGGAAGUUGAGAAUGCAUGUCCAUUCUGUUCAGGCAAUUGCAAUUGCAAAGCCUGCUUGCGGGAGGUUCCAGUGCUUAGGGACCGAGAGGUAAAUUCCAGUGUCAAAUUACAUCGACUGCGCUACUUACUCUAUAAAGCUUUGCCUGUUCUGAGGCAUAUUCACAGGGAGCAAAGCUUAGAACUAGAGAUUGAAUCUAAAAUAAGAGGUGAGCAACUGCAAGAAAAAGGCAUAGCAAGAACAGAGCUAGACAAACGUGAGCGCUUAUACUGUGACAAUUGCAAUACAUCUAUAAUUGGGUUUUACCGGAGCUGCCGCAAUCCCAGUUGCUCUUAUGAUCUAUGUCUCAUGUGUUGUCAAGAGCUUAGGGAGGGUUGCCAACCUGGAGGCAUAGAAGCUGAAACAUCCCAGGAACAAUUUUCUGAGAGAGCUCGUAAUCAUGAUUCGUCAAUAACUAAGAGUGAAAAACAAAGUAAAAGAUAUGGAUGGGAGAGCCAGCUUGUGCCUGAUUUUCAAGCUGACAUGUCCACCCCCUUCCCUGAAUGGAACGCUAAUACAGAUGGUAACAUUCCAUGUCCACCAAAACAGCGUGGAGGAUGUGGUACCACAUUGCUAGAAUUGAGACGUACUUUCAAAUGUAACUGGGUAGUGAAAUUGCUAAAUAAUGCUGAGGACCUCACUAGAGACUACACACCGCCUGAUGUUGAUAUUACAGAAAAGUGCUCUUUAUGUCAGAAAAAUACCAUUGAAGAAAAAACCAAUCUUGAAGCCCGUAGGGCAGCAUUCAGAGAUGAUGAUAAUGAUAAUUUCAUAUAUAGCUCAAAUGCCCUUGAUAUUUCUGAUGAUGAAAUUGAGCAUUUCCAGAGGCACUGGAUGAGGGGAGAACCUGUUGUUGUGAGAAACAUUCUAGAUAAGACGUCGGGUCUUAGCUGGGAGCCAAUGGUUAUGUGGAGGGCUUUAAGAGAAACAGGCUCCAAAGCGAAGUUUAAAGACGAAACUCGAAGUGUAAAAGCUAUUGAUUGCUUCGAUUGGUGUGGGGUUGAGAUCAAUAUGCACCAAUUUUUCGAUGGCUACCUGGAAGGCCGAAUGUAUAAAAAUGGGUGGCCAGAAAUGCUGAAAUUGAAAGAUUGGCCCACAUCCACCACUUUUGAAGAGCGCUUGCCUAGGCAUGGCAGAGAGUUCCUCAUGGCACUCCCCUACAGGGAUUACACUGAUCCAAAAUCUGGGACUUUGAAUUUUGCCUCUAAACUUCCUGAUGACUUACUAAAGCCGGAUUUAGGACCCAAAACAUAUAUUGCUUAUGGAUUUUCUGAUGAGCUUGGUAGAGGAGAUUCUGUGACAAAGCUGCACUGUGAUGUGUCUGAUGCAGUCAAUGUGUUGAUGCAUACAACCAAAGUGAAGAUAGCUCGUUGGCGGAGAAAAAUAAUAAAAGAAUUGCAGAAAAAAUAUGCGGAAGAAGACUCUCGUGAACUUUUAUGUGAGGCUUUAGGAGAUGCUGGUGAAAGACCUAAAUCUAAAGCAUUGAGUCAUGAUCAGAAGGCAGACAUUGGAAUUGGUAAUAUUUCACCAACUAGCGACGUGGAUCAGUGCAUUCCAUCUAUACGUGAAGAAGGCAAGAGUCAGAAGUUAGAAACACAUGAUCUAUCUGCAAGUAGCUUAGCUAGUAAUAUGAGCAAUAAGGAAGGCAGAAUGAGGAUUGAUUUUAUACAUGAUAAGGAGCCUGCUGGUCCUGAGCUGAGAGAGUCAAAACAAGGCCUGGAGAAAGAUACUUUGCAAACUGAAGAUGGAGCUGAGGUUGCCCUCGGUGGUGCUGUUUGGGAUAUCUUCCGCCGGCAAGAUGUCCCUAAGCUAAUUGAGUACUUAAGAAAGCACAAGAAUGAAUUCCGUCAUAUAAAAAAUCAUCCUGUAGAUUCUGUUAUACAUCCUAUUCAUGAUCAAACUCUGUUUUUAAAUGAGAGGCAUAAGAAACAGCUGAAAAAGGAGUUCAAUGUUGAACCAUGGACCUUUGAGCAACACCUUGGGGAGGCUGUCUUCAUUCCAGCAGGAUGUCCUCACCAAGUGAGAAACAGACAAGAGGUAACCACUCUUAGCCGCUGGUUGGUGGAGGCAAAUGAGAGGAUCACCGAAACGCAAAUUCAACUCACAAACGUGGACUCCUUACUGUGAUCUAUUGAGAAGUUGCUACGUGAAAACUUGAAGCUGAAAAUGAAGGCCGCUGAUUAUGGCCCUGUUGGUGACGCUGCCGCAGAUGGCAGUUCUGGUGUGGGAUCAGUAAGCAUGGGCACUAAACAGCCAUGGCCUCGGCUAAGGGUGAAAGUCGCUGAUCUCCCCAUGUUUGACAGCGAAAGAGUGGAAUAUUGGGUCUUCCACGCCGUCAGCACUUGGAGACGUUUGAGAUACCCGUGGAGCAGAGAAUUCGGGUGUUAUAGUUUCAUUUGGUGGGAGCAGCGUAUGCAUGGUAUCUAUGGGGCAUUAACAACAGCAUCACCUACACCUACACCUGGGACACAUUUCUGGAGGCGCUAGUAGCUAGUAGUCAGAUUUGGGAAGAAUCUCUUCUAUGACCCUUGCACCGCCAUUAAAGAAUUGAAGCAGAGUGGAUUGGUGGUGGAGUACGAGAGCCAAUUUGAAGAGUUGACCAACAGGGUCAAUGGGAUGAAUGAGGAGUGGAUCAUCUCCCUCUUUGUUGGUGGGCUUCAGGACCAGCUCAAAUGUGAAUUGCUCCUAGCCCAACCCACAUCUUAUGUCCAGGCCGUUUCCAUCGCUAAACUCCAUGUGCAGAAGAACGCGACGAUGCUGGGCUUAUCUCGGGUCGGUAGCAAUAAGGCCACAAGUAGCCCAGAACCCGCCCCGGUUUGCUCCUAACAGAACCCUUGCCCCAAGAGUUCUCACCCAAUGACUACCCCUUCCACGAGCUCCAUAGCCUCUGCUAACACACCCUCUUCUUUCCCAACACCAUAAACAACCCCACUGGCAUUUAAGAAACUGACCAGCGCUGAUAUUCGAGCACGAAUGAACGUUACAGCCAGGGGUAUCGCUGCAAGGCUUCUUAUCAGCUCCACGUAGGUGAAAAGGAACUCCAGGAGCUCUUACAAGGCACUGCCGGAACACUUGAAGAGGAGAAUGACUCCGAUUUGGAAGAUGAUGGACAUGAAGAGGAGGAACAACCUCCACGAAUCAGUCUCAACGCCCUUGCCGGGGAGUUCCACCCUGAGACUCUGCACGUGAAAGGGACACACGCCAACUGACCCCUGCUGAUUUUGAUUGACGGCGGCAGCACCCACAACUUCAUUAAAGGGUCAAUUCACUCAAUUGCCAGGAAGCUCAAUUUGCCUCUUACCCCCACAUCAACACUUCAAUGAUGGACAAUGGCGACUCCAUUAAUUUUGCUGCUAAAUGCCAAGAUUUUUCAUUAUUGGUGUAAGGGUAUAACUUCUCUGUGGACUCUUAUGUUGCGUUUGUUUACAGGCACGGGACACCAAGAUAGGGACACAGAGACACAAAAUCGUGUUUGGCAGAUGAAAUAUGGACAGGGACAUUGUGUCUAGAGACACUGAAUUAGUGUAUUUUGUGUCUAUCUUGACAGGAAGGACACAGAGACACUAACAAGAGGCAACUUAUUUUUCAUUUUUUCUUUCAUUAUUCUUCUUAAUUUUUCAUAAUUAUAUUCUUUAUUAUUAUAUUUUUCUUUCCAAAUUUUUUGAAUGAAAAAAAUAAGAAUAAAUUGGACUUUCAUAGUUUGUUCUAGUUUAUCACCAAACAAAAUAUAAGAAUACUAAUUUUUUUAUCUGUGUCCUUUGUGUCUUGUUCUGUUCUCAAAACCAAAUGCAGCCUUAUGUACUGGACCUCAAAGGCGCAAAUGUGGUCCUGGGAGUACGCAAAUGGGUUCCCUGCCACUAUUGUUUCCGGUAGAGACCCUCUCUUCUUAAGUCGCUUCUAGAGGGAAUUAUUUGUGAAUUGGGGUACUAAGCUGCUCUAUAGUAUAGCGUAUCAUUUGCAGACUAAUGGUCAAACGGAAGUUGUAAACCGAACGCUGGAACAAUACCUGCGUGUGUUCACCCAUUCCCACCCUGCAAAAUGGGCUGAGUUUUGUUAUAAUAACUCGUUUCACACCACAAUUGAGAUGUCUCCACAUGAAGCAUUAUAUGGGUUUCUAGCCCGGACCAUUCCAGGGUAUAUGCAUCACUCAUCUUCGGUUGAGGAUGUAGAUGACUUGCUGCGAGUGCAGGAGUCUCUUUAUAUGGAACUGAAGUUUUGCCUCCAACAAGAAUAGAACCGAAUGAAACGCCUGUCUGCUAAUCAUCAUGUCAUGGGGGUUCGGCUAUAUUUUUAUGUUGGUUGUCGAAGACCUAACACAACCCUCCUCCUUUAUCCGGGCUUGGGACCGGCUAUGUACCGCAAGUGUAACAUAGGCGGAGUUCUGUUUGUUAAUCAUCGUUGAGAGAAAUUGUUCAAUGUCGGUGAUUGGGUUCUGUUGAAGCUACAACCAUAUAGGCAAAGCUCAGUGGUGGUUUGUGGUAACUUAAAGCUUGCUAAGCGGUUUUAUGGGCCGUUUAAGGUGCUGCAGGGGGUAGGGAAGUCGCGUACAAGUUGGAACUUCCAACCGGCAGUGCUAUACAUAUGGAUGAAAGACUACGAGAAUCUUGUAUAAAGGUUGCUCUUGAUUUCGUUUCUCCGGAAAAUGUUGGAGAAUGUUUACGACUAACUGAAGAGUUUCGUUUGCUCCCAAAACACCACAGAGCCAAGGAAGACAAAUUGGAGG